AUUGAACGCUGGCGGCAUGCCUUACACAUGCAAGUCGAACGGUAACAGGUCUUCGGAUGCUGACGAGUGGCGAACGGGUGAGUAAUACAUCGGAACGUGCCUAGUAGUGGGGGAUAAUUACUCGAAAGAGUGGCUAAUACCGCAUGAGAUCUACGGAUGAAAGCAGGGGAUCGCAAGACCUUGUGCUACUAGAGCGGCCGAUGGCAGAUUAGGUAGUUGGUGGGAUAAAAGCUUACCAAGCCGACGAUCUGUAGCUGGUCUGAGAGGACGAUCAGCCACACUGGGACUGAGACACGGCCCAGACUCCUACGGGAGGCAGCAGUGGGGAAUUUUGGACAAUGGGCGCAAGCCUGAUCCAGCAAUGCCGCGUGCAGGAUGAAGGCCUUCGGGUUGUAAACUGCUUUUGUACGGAACGAAAAGCCCUGGGUUAAUACCCUGGGGUCAUGACGGUACCGUAAGAAUAAGCACCGGCUAACUACGUGCCAGCAGCCGCCGUAA
Molecule: ribosomal RNA, 498 nt
Filed under: uncultured bacterium
Lineage: Bacteria
Description: partial 16S ribosomal RNA
Rfam family: Bacterial small subunit ribosomal RNA
Source: RNAcentral